RNAcentral lists this ribosomal RNA (141 nucleotides) under uncultured bacterium. RNAcentral describes it as "partial 16S ribosomal RNA". The record is from RNAcentral.
GCACGAAGUUAGCCGGGGCUUAUUCUGCAGGUACCGUCACUUUCGCUUCUUCCCUACUGAAAGAGGUUUACAACCCGAAGGCCGUCAUCCCUCACGCGGCGUCGCUGCAUCAGGCUUUCGCCCAUUGUGCAAUAUUCCCCA